UAACCAUGAUGUAGGAAAGCAUUUAAAAUAUCCUUGAAUCUUUCCCAGCAUUGGAAGAAGGUUUCUUCCUCUUUAUGUGAAAAAUUCAUGAUCGUGCUCCUAAGAGU
Magnolia sinica is the source of this 107-nucleotide small nucleolar RNA. NCBI's taxonomy places the organism in Eukaryota, Viridiplantae, Streptophyta, Magnoliopsida, Magnoliales, Magnoliaceae. The record is from RefSeq and is a predicted model, not a curated record.